This 392-nucleotide ribosomal RNA is filed under the name uncultured bacterium. RNAcentral's name for it is "partial 16S ribosomal RNA". It matches the Rfam family "Bacterial small subunit ribosomal RNA", at positions 523 to 918 of the family's 1533-position model. The record is from RNAcentral.
ACACGUAGGGGCCUGACGUUGUUCGGAAUCAUUGGGCGUAAAGGGCGCGCAGGCGGCCGUCCAAGUCCGGUGUUAAAUGGUCGGGCUCAACCCGAUCAUGCGCUGGAAACUGGGCGGCUUGAGUCCCGUAGGGGAUGCCGGAAUUCCAGGUGUAGGGGUGAAAUCUGUAGAUACCUGGAAGAACACCGAUGGCGAAGGCAGGCAUCUGGCCGGAGACUGACGCUGAGGCGCGAAGGCGCGGGGAGCGAACAGGUUUAGAUACCCUGGUAGUCCGCGCAGUAAACGAUGCGCACCAGGUGUCGGGCGGCAGCGCCCGGUACCGGAGCUAACGCGAUGAGUGCGCCGCCUGGGGAGUAUGCCCGCAAGGGUGAAACUCAAAUGAAUUGGCGGGG